UUUGUGUGGCAGAUUCCCACUGGAAUUGACAUUGUGUUCAAGGUGUUUGAGUUCACAACAUGGCCUUGAAUGUAAGAUUCUAAAUUGUAAGUUCCCUGCUAUUUUACUUUCAAUUUUGCCUUCUGGCAACACCAAAUAACGCAAUUUUUGAAAUUUUCCAUUCUCGUUUAGCAUGUACCAUGACAGAGUGCCAGACAAGCAUUGUAUAAUUGCAUUACACCAUUCUUUAGUGUAAAUUAGCAUGUAAAGAACUUAUUACAUUCGCAUUAUUACGUAAUUGAAUGAGUAGUGCUUGUAGUCUUGCACCUUGCUUAUUCGGUAGGAAAUAUUUUAGAAAUAAUGUUGGAAAUAAUUCACGAAAAUUGCAAAUUUUCAAAUUUCUGAGGUGCAGGGACCCUGAUUUUAGAUAGAUAUUCCUGAUGAAAUACGCCUAAGUACACGAUAAAUAAGUAUUUAUCGCGGUUAUAACUUCCUUCUUUCACUGAUUGUAUAUGUUGGGGGAAAAUCCCCUUCGGAUUCACAGUUAGAAUCAAAGGUAUGAGACACAUAUAAAACUAUAAAAAAAAGAAGCAGCAAAAAGACAUGUAUUUAACGCGGUUCGACACUUUUACCUACAUCUCAUCAAAACAUCUCAACAAAUAUCCACACACAAUCAAUUAAUUGAUGCUAAUAGAGAGGAUUUCGAAUGACUCUUUGAAUAAGCAUCGAUGGAUUGUUUCUCACAAUUCCAAGAGCCAGCUCCCUUAGAAAUUGGAAACAAUUACACUUAUACUCUUUGCUUUUUUGAAUUGCACAGAAUAUCGCUCUUUUUUUAUUUUAUUUAUAUACUUUGAAAAAUAUUAUUUUGACACCUCCUUAUAUAUUAUAUUAAUUGCUAAAUUAUUUGAAAAAUACUAUAUCAUAUCCCUAUAAAGAAUGUUGUUGUAAACCUUAAAUAAGGAUGACUAUUGUGUGUGCACUUCAAAAAAACCUCACAGGAUAUUAAUGUAAUUUGUGCUAGAAGUGAUCACAUCUAGAUCUAGAUCAAUAGUAAUAAUUUUCACUUUUUAAAUUUAUUAUAUAUUAAAUCCACUCCAAAUAAUAUUUGAAAAUUUGAAUUGAUUUUCUCAACACUAUGGAUCAGUUUAAUUUGAAAAAAAAAUGUAAUACCUGACAAGAUAACUCUAAUUGUAGCAUGUUUGAUUUGAAAGACAAAAAUACUCCCUUAUCUCUUCUUUCUCUCCCCCACUCUCUUGUUUCAGUUUCUGAUUUUACUCAAAACUGUCGUCUUCUUGCUUAAGCGUAUCAAACGCGAGUGCGGAUCCUCUGUAAAAGAGAGCAGCAUUUGAAGCAGUAGCUUAUUUACUGUUCAAUACAGGACUUAAAUUGUACAACUUACCACAUCAGAUCCAUUCUCUAUAAUGUCCAUAAUUUGCAAAAUUUCAUUUAUUUUAUUAUUCUCUUUUCCCUGUUUACCUUUUGGUAUUCCACAACAGAAAAAAGAGAAGAACAAGAACACGCACAAACUUAGAAGACUAACGGAAAAAAAGAUCACCGAAUAUAACCAAAUACAAAGGUGCACCCACUGUACACGAAAUGCAUUCAUCUUCGUCACUUUUCUUAUUGUAAUUCUCGUAUAAUUUUUUGCAGCAAGUGCAAAGUUUGAUGGAGCAUUUUAAGUAUGGAUUUUUAAGAGAAUGGAACUGAUGUGGUAAGGAAUACAGUUUAAGUCUCUUGUUGAUCAGUAAAUAAGCUACUGCUUCAAAUAUUGUUCUCUUUUACCAUUGCAGAGGAUCUGUACUAAUCAAACGCACCCUAGGUGUGUAUUACAUAUAGAAUAUUAAAUAUAUAAAUUAGAAGUACUAAAGGCAAGAUUGAUUUAUUUAACAAAAGGUUAUUUUAUAAACAUGUGGGUUUCUGAUAGAAGGUUAUUUUAUAAGUAUGUGUUAAGAGGUUUUAGUUUUACCAAUACAGACUAAGAUAUUUCUCAUAUUUGAAGAACACAUAAGAAUUUCUUCGUGACCUUUUAGCAAAUUUGCGGUACAUAUCAGUUUUUCUUUUAUUAAUAGGUUUCUUUAUUAGUAUACGAACUUUUUAAUUUAAUAUAUCUUUCAAAGAUUAGUGUAUCAAUAUCAUUAAAUUUUUUUAAUUAAAUUGUUUUCUAAAAAUUAAAAUAUCAUGCAUUUCUUUUUAUAAAGGACUAAAAUGGUGAUACAGAGUGAUAAAUUUGAUAACCGUUCCUAGUUCAAAAGAAUUAUAUCCUAUUUUAAAAUAACUUUGUUACUAUCAGGCAUUAGCAUAUAGAUGUGCAUGAUUUGUUAAUCUCACGAGUAGUAUACUAUUUUGUUACUGAAGUUAAUUUCGGGCAACACUCGUAACGUUGAGCCUCUACAAUAUCUGCAUCUUCGCUGAAUUAAUAAAUUGGGGUUCAAAAUUUUAGUUUUUAUCAUUUAUUCAGUCAAAAUAUAAUCAAAUGCCAAUAUAAUACACAUACAUAAAAUUAAAACAUUAUCAUUAUUUUUCAUAAAGUAGUUAUUUAUUGAGUUGACUCAACGAGUUAUUAAGCAUGUAAUUCAAAGUUUCAAAUUCACUCCUUUAACAAAUAAGUAAAAAAAAUCAACUUAAUAAAUUAUCACUAAAUUAACUGAAUCCUGAUCUGAUUUACUUACGAGUUUCUACUAAUUUUACUUGUAAUACUCAAUAACAUACUUUUUGGGCUUGGGUAAAAUUAGCUGAAAAAUUAAUUAGAAGUUAAAAAGUUAAUUGAUGAUUGAAAAUUAAAAAAAUAGCUUAUUACAUUUUAAGUGUAUGAUAAAAUUAACUUUUGAAAUAAUUAAAAAGUGUAAAAUGAUAAAAAAAAAUUAUAAUUUAUUUAAAAAGGAUAAAUAAAAAAUUAAAUAAAUAUAUUAAAGAUAAAAAUAAUAUAAAGAAUCGUAUAUAGAAAACUAAUAUACAAUUUUUAAAUCUAAAGAAUAUUGAUGACUAAAUAUGUGAUAUAUCAGUAUAAUAAUUAGGGCAAUAUAUAAACAAAAGUGGUAAACAUAAUUUUUCAGUCGAAUGUAAUAUAUUUGGCAAGUUGGAAAGAGUUGAAUAUUGUUAUAUCUGUGUUUAUCGGUUUCUAUCUAAGAUAAUGCAGUAUAUCACAUUUAUUGGCAUUGUCUAUGUUUAUGAAAACAUUUAUUUCUUAAGUUUUAAGAUGGCAUCAAAACUACAAAUGCAUUAGUAUUAUAACAAUUAUUCUCUAAAAAAAAAAAUAACAAUUAUCCUAAAGAAAGUGUAACAAAAGAAAAUUAUCGUAAAGAAUAAGAGGACGUACCAAUUUGAAGGCUAAAAGCACAUUCUGAACGACGGUUAAUUAAAGAAGAAGAAAGAAAGCCAUCAACCAUGGAAUGGAACCCUCCAUAAACAGUCAGCAGCAAUAAAGAAACAGAUUGACUUCAAAUAGACGUAUGAAGGACAACGUCUGGUUUAUAUAAAAUACAUAGAGGUUCUUUUC
RNAcentral lists this long non-coding RNA (3475 nucleotides) under Glycine max (soybean). Its description in RNAcentral is "long non-coding RNA (GMAX_LNC004491)". The record is from RNAcentral. Lineage: Eukaryota; Viridiplantae; Streptophyta; Magnoliopsida; Fabales; Fabaceae.